AAAGAAAAUUGAUCGGUUAGGAAAACGUUUUGGCAUCAUCGAGAUAGGAAGUAGCUGCAAUGGCAACAAUGGCCAUCAGAUCCUUUACAUCGAAUCCCUGGCGAUGGAGUUGCGAUGGCUUCGCAACUGUGCUCGAGGCAAGGCGUGCAGCCAAAAUUCAGGAUUCAGAGAGGAUCCUUUCUCAUCAAACUUGUGCUAUAAUCAUCAAGAAAAAUUAUUAGUCUCGUGCUGUAUGUAUCUCUUUCUAUAUUAUAUGAGAAAGAUGUGUAUGGUUAGGGGUGUGCAACAGUUAUGGCGGGUAGGUAAAUGCGGUUAUUUACCCAUAGCCGUUUAAGCUUUUACCCACAUAACCUUUUACCCGUUGGAUAUUUACAUAAACGGGUAUAUUCAUACCCAUAACCGUUUAUAAACGAUUAA
RNAcentral lists this long non-coding RNA (417 nucleotides) under Malus domestica (apple). Its description in RNAcentral is "long non-coding RNA (MDOM_LNC006932)". Lineage: Eukaryota; Viridiplantae; Streptophyta; Magnoliopsida; Rosales; Rosaceae. The record is from RNAcentral.